Molecule: long non-coding RNA, 1304 nt
Organism: Rosa chinensis
Lineage: Eukaryota; Viridiplantae; Streptophyta; Magnoliopsida; Rosales; Rosaceae
Exons: 5
Source: RefSeq, a predicted model, not a curated record
UGUAAGUUCCUCUUCUCCUUCAGAUUCAGAGAACUUCUUUGUUUUUAAUUUCAUCAGGUCUUGAUUGGGUUUUCUAAUAUGACUGGGUUUUUGUGUAUGAGCUAUCAACUUCUUCAUCGUCUUCAUCAGAGAGAACAAUACCCAUCAGGGUUGAAGAAUUUCACGAACACAUUGUUCCUCUGUCUCGGAUUUGAUGGCAAGCAAAUUGGGUUUUGCAAAAUUAAAGGAAAAUCUUCCAAUCAAGUUGGAUGCUUUGGUUUUAAUUGUAGAUACUGUCCAAUCUAUGAAUCCAUUCAAAUUUUAAUUGCAAUCUCUGCCGAGAGGUUACUAAGCCCUGUGGGGCCUCUACUUUGAUGUGUUGGAUGAGGAAUUUAUAUUCGAUUGAUGAGAAUGUUCAGAGGGAAACCAGAUUGAUGGGUAGUGGAAGCAUAUUCUGUUAGUAUAAAGGGGGAGAUUGUUAGUAUAGGAAUUGUAUGUUGGCAUUCCCCUUAUACAAAACUUGAGUGUUCUAGCUAAAAGUGUGUGAGUGUUUUGAUCUAAGCAUUUGGAUCAGUAACACAAGACAAGGACCCACUGACUCAUACGAAAUUUGGGCUGGUGUCCCCUCACAUGGACUUGCAAGUUGAGCCUUUAAACAAAGUUCUUUUAAGAAGUCUGGGUGUAUAAAAAGAAUGCUUUGGUUCCAUAAGUUUGAUCGGUUUUUGUGAGCAGUGUCUAAGUUAAAUGUUCAAGAGAAUAAGUGAGUCAUGAGUGUAUUCUAUUCUUAGAAUUCUCUUGUAUUAAAUACCGAUGAGUUCAGUUGAGAAAAUCAACUAUGUUUGAGAUUUCAAGGCCGAUGUUUUCAAGACAAGUGAAGCACAUUUAGAAGCUGUAGACAAAGUGUUGAGAGGUAGUGCAACUGGCUAAAAAGAGUUUAGCUAGAGAUAACCGAGUUCAGAGUUAUCCGAGAGGUUGUAAGUGUACCUUGUAUUUGGUUUACUAUCUUAUAAUGUGUGCUUAAGCACUUGGCCUGAGGCCCGCAGUUGUUUACCUCAUUUUGAGGGUUUUACUGCGUAAACAUGUUCCUGUGUCCCUUAUUUUCUGUUAUUUUUUCUUAUGCUUGCAUAUGGUAGUUUCUUUAUACUGUUGGUUAGGGAUAGAUAGCUUUUUCCAAUCCCUCAGCAACGUUCAGAAAAUUGGAUACAAAUAAAAGUUAAUUGCCUAUUCACCCCCCCUCUAGGCCAUUCUAGUACUUUCAUAUUCUAUUAUGUGGUUUCAAUUUGAAGCAGCUGAUUCUUAUUAUUAUUAUUAAUAUAUUUUUACUU